This 2422-nucleotide long non-coding RNA is filed under the name Capsicum annuum. RNAcentral's name for it is "long non-coding RNA (CANN_LNC014382)". The record is from RNAcentral. Lineage: Eukaryota; Viridiplantae; Streptophyta; Magnoliopsida; Solanales; Solanaceae.
CCUCUAUAAGAAAAAUAGGAUUUAGAUCAUAGUUUGAGAUUAUUAUAUUUUUCGAAUCAGCUGACUAAGUCUGUCAUUACUCUUCCUCUAGAUUAACGCCAUUAAGGGCAUUGGGGGAAUUCAGAUAUUCCUCAAUGGGGUCAUCAUGGAAUUUCUAAGGAGUAUGAUUCCUUAUUUCUGCUGUAUCGAACUCUGAGAUGGCCUAUUCUGGCAUGGAAGGAUCAUUAGUCUAGAAGAUUCCUAGAUAUGCAUGGUCUCCAUUAAGAACACCAUGCUUGAUGGAAUCCCAGUCCUCAUCUAGUGGUACUUCAUCUUUGAUCUAUAGGUCACUAUCUAGGACUAAAGCAUCUAUUUCUGAAAAUAUAUCAUCAUGUGGUGGAUUGGUAGACACUAAGUUCAUCAUAUUAGUAUCAUGUGGGGCCUUCAUUCUUUUGGAUUGUGCUUGUGUCCCUUCGUCUUACUGGAAGUCUACUAUGGCUUAUUUUUUUUCAUAAGAAUCUAGGAAGGUUAGAUCUCUGCUCAUCUUCUUGAGUUGGACUGAGUAGCUCAGGGGGUAUAUGUUCUUAACGGGGAAGUGAAAAAGGGUUGGUGUAACUUUUGUGGUGAUGUGGUACGUACGACAUAUGCUAGGACCUUUUGUGGAUUCGUGGUGUCGUAUCUCAAUAGGGCAGUCUAUUCUUCAAGUGAUGCCAUCUCCAUUCUUUUGGAAUAUGUUUUGGCAUCUGCAGAGUGAUAAAAAGUUCUUUUGGAUUCAUAAGGAUAUGCUGGUUAAGGGUUGUCACAACAAAGUAUUCCUUAACUUCUUCUGGCCUGUUCUGAUGCAAAGAAUCAAUCUGCAUCCAUGUAAAAGAAUCAAUCUGCAUCCAUAGAUUACAUGUUUUUUUUGAAAAGUCAGAGUACGAGUUAGGUAGGGGUAGAUGUGCGAAACAGAUAUCUUGUUCAGGUUGCAACACAUCUACUUCAUAGAGAUAGUCAUCUUUACAUCACAAAGUUCUAUGAGGGGUUGGAAACAUGGCUAACUUAGGCCAAAACUUAUAUGGAUCGAUCAAAGUAGAUGAAGCUGGUGAAUAAUUAGAGAAAGACAUAUUUUUGUUUUUUUAGACUAUAAAGACUCGAUUAUUUAUACUAAAGAUUUAGGGAAAACACUCAAUAAAAUCUUUUUGUAUUUUUGUGGACUAUAAAACUAGAUAUAUUUGUUCUAAAAUCUAAGAAAAGUAACUCCGACUCAAUUAUAUACAAGACGCAGGAUAUGAUAACUGGAAAUACACUGACUCUGAUAAUGGAAUCACUAUGACUCUAUUAUUUAUAGGACUUUGGUAAUAAUAACUAGAAAGUAAAGACUACAGAUCUAAGACUAACAGCUAAGACAAAGUAAAGUAAAGACUAAACUAAAAAUAAAAUGUAAUCAAAGCUUCUGUCGACACCAUAAACACCGGGACUAACAUUUCCAACAUGAUAGGCAAUUUCACAUCCAUAUAGGCGGUACGCCAUAUGAAAUUAAAGCUUUUUAUUGACACACCAUAGCUUUCUUAUGAUUGAUCUAUGCAUCCACGGAUGGAUGGUUUGCCUUGGUAACAAAGACUUUGCAACCCUCAGCGGGAUAGCUUGACUUUGCCAGUCUUAAAACACAUGAAAUCUUUUGUCUCCUUAGUACAAGAAUGUUCGGUAUAUGGAAUAAAUGGGUCUUACGGCGACUCUGCCUGGUCUAUUUCCCUCAAGCAUCUGGGAAACAAAGGUGUACUAAGACAGACCUCAGAUCUACACGUUUUUUCUAAGAUAACGAAUCAAAUUAGAAAGCUAUAGUUCAGACUAAGCCAAUUUCAUUUCAUAUGCAUGGAAAAGAUUUAGACAUCUACAUUGCCUGGAUGAAGCCGACUUCGUUUCAUAUCCAUGGAAAGUACCUUUGGAGUUCCAUGUUGCAAUCACAAUAAGUACUUGCCAAAGUAUUCCCUUACCCCACCACUCCAUCCUAAAGGAUUGAAGUACCCAUACCUUUGUAAGGAAGAAAAUAAGAGAGAGAGUUUAGCCAACAUAUAUCUUUAUUGAUAGAGUGAAACAUUACAAGAGGUUAUUAGGUAGAGAGGAUGAUUCCCUCUAACUAAAGGCCUAUGCUUUCUUUUAUAGGAAAGGAAGCUCUACUGAUAAACUUGAAAUAAAAUAUCCUAUCUCUAUCUUUUAAGAGAUAAACUUUAUCUAUUAUGACUAGAUAAGCCAUACCUUUUUUAAGAGAGAAGCUUUAUGUGUUAUGAUUAGAUAAGCCUAAUCUUUGUCACAAACUUCUAAGCUUCUCUUCAUUAAUCUGGUGAAUUAAAUCUUUAUGUUGGAUGAAUCUUCAUAUUACUGUAGGGGAGAUUUCAUCCGUAUACAUUUGAUGAAGUCUGUGGCUUCAUCUCUUGUGAUCUCAUUCGGUGGCUGAUAUUUU